This 253-nucleotide ribosomal RNA is filed under the name uncultured bacterium. RNAcentral describes it as "partial 16S ribosomal RNA". It matches the Rfam family "Bacterial small subunit ribosomal RNA", at positions 524 to 776 of the family's 1533-position model. The record is from RNAcentral.
UACGAAGGGGGCUAGCGUUGCUCGGAAUCACUGGGCGUAAAGCGCACGUAGGCGGCUUUUUAAGUCAGGGGUGAAAUCCUGGAGCUCAACUCCAGAACUGCCUUUGAUACUGGGAAGCUUGAGUCCGGGAGAGGUGAGUGGAACUCCGAGUGUAGAGGUGAAAUUCGUAGAUAUUAGGAAGAACACCAGUGGCGAAGGCGGCUCACUGGUCCGGUACUGACGCUGAGGUGCGAAAGCGUGGGGAGCAAACAGG